This 64-nucleotide small nucleolar RNA is filed under the name Sorex araneus (European shrew). RNAcentral's name for it is "U8 small nucleolar RNA (ENSSARG00000019327.1)". The record is from RNAcentral. Lineage: Eukaryota; Metazoa; Chordata; Mammalia; Eulipotyphla; Soricidae.
UUGUCAGGUAGGAUAAUCCUCCCCUGUUCCUCUGUUAAGAGGCAGAUAGACUAACAUUCAAGAG